UUGGUUAAGUUAGAAAGGGCGCACGGUGGAUGCCUUGGCACUAGGAGCCGAAGAAGGACGGGACUAACACCGAUAUGCUUUGGGGAGCUGUACGUAAGCGUUGAUCCAGAGAUUUCCGAAUGGGGGAACCCACUAUCUUUAGUCGGAUAGUAUCCUUACGUGAAUACAUAGCGUGAGGAAGGCAGACCCAGGGAACUGAAACAUCUAAGUACCUGGAGGAAGAGAAAGAAAAAUCGAUUUCCUGAGUAGCGGCGAGCGAAACGGAAAGAGCCCAAACCAAGAAGCUUGCUUCUUGGGGUUGUAGGACACUCUAUACGGAGUUACAAAAGAAAGUUAUAAAUGAAGCGGUCUGGAAAGGCCCGCCAAAGACGGUAACAGCCCGGUAGUUGAAAUGGCUUUCCCUCCAGAGUGGAUCCUGAGUACGGCGGAACACGUGAAAUUCCGUCGGAAUCCGGGAGGACCAUCUCCCAAGGCUAAAUACUCCCUAGUGACCGAUAGUGAACCAGUACCGUGAGGGAAAGGUGAAAAGCACCCCGGAAGGGGAGUGAAACAGUUCCUGAAACCGUGUGCCUACAAGUAGUUAGAGCCCGUUAAUGGGUGAUAGCGUGCCUUUUGUAGAAUGAACCGGCGAGUUACGAUUUGUUGCAAGGUUAAGCGGAAAAAGCGGAGCCGUAGCGAAAGCGAGUCUGAAUAGGGCGCAUAAGUAACAGGUCGUAGACCCGAAACCAGGUGAUCUACCCAUGUCCAGGAUGAAGGUAAGGUAAUACUUACUGGAGGUCCGAACCCACGCACGUUGAAAAGUGCGGGGAUGAGGUGUGGGUAGCGGAGAAAUUCCAAUCGAA
RNAcentral lists this ribosomal RNA (842 nucleotides) under Listeria monocytogenes. RNAcentral's name for it is "partial 23S ribosomal RNA". It matches the Rfam family "Bacterial large subunit ribosomal RNA", at positions 1 to 837 of the family's 2925-position model. The record is from RNAcentral. Lineage: Bacteria; Bacillati; Bacillota; Bacilli; Caryophanales; Listeriaceae.